UGUUUCGGCUAGGGGGCCAUCCCGGCUUACCAACCCGAUGCAAACUGCGAAUACCGGAGAAUGUUAUCACGGGAGACACACGGCGGGUGCUAACGUCCGUCGUGAAGAGGGAAACAACCCAGACCGCCAGCUAAGGUCCCAAAGUCAUGGUUAAGUGGGAAACGAUGUGGGAAGGCCCAGACAGCCAGGAUGUUGGCUUAGAAGCAGCCAUCAUUUAAAGAAAGCGUAAUAGCUCACUGGUCGAGUCGGCCUGCGCGGAAGAUGUAACGGGGCUAAACCAUGCACCGAAGCUGCGGCAGCGACACUCAGGUGUUGUUGGGUAGGGGAGCGUUCUGUAAGCCUGUGAAGGUGGCCUGUGAGGGUUGCUGGAGGUAUCAGAAGU
Molecule: ribosomal RNA, 382 nt
Filed under: Salmonella enterica subsp. enterica serovar Virchow
Lineage: Bacteria; Pseudomonadati; Pseudomonadota; Gammaproteobacteria; Enterobacterales; Enterobacteriaceae
Description: partial 23S ribosomal RNA
Rfam family: Bacterial large subunit ribosomal RNA
Source: RNAcentral